RNAcentral lists this ribosomal RNA (967 nucleotides) under Syzeton sp. COL322. RNAcentral's name for it is "SSU rRNA". It matches the Rfam family "Eukaryotic small subunit ribosomal RNA", at positions 31 to 941 of the family's 1831-position model. The record is from RNAcentral. Lineage: Eukaryota; Metazoa; Arthropoda; Insecta; Coleoptera; Aderidae.
CUGUCUCAAAGAUUAAGCCAUGCAUGUCUCAGUACAAGCCAAAUUAAGGUGAAACCGCGAAAGGCUCAUUAAAUCAGUUAUGGUUCCUUAGAUCGUACACACAUUUACUUGGAUAACUGUGGUAAUUCUAGAGCUAAUACAUGCAUACUGAGCUCCGACCGGAGACGGAAGGAGCGCUUUUAUUAGAUCAAAACCAAUCGGUGCUGGUAUAACCAACAUCGUAUAAUUUGGUGAAUCUGAAUAACUUUAAGCUGAUCGCACGGUCUAGUACCGGCGACGCAUCUUUCAAAUGUCUGCCUUAUCAACUGUCGAUGGUAGGUUCUGCGCCUACCAUGGUUGUAACGGGUAACGGAGAAUCAGGGUUCGAUUCCGGAGAGGGAGCCUGAGAAACGGCUACCACAUCCAAGGAAGGCAGCAGGCGCGCAAAUUACCCACUCCCGGCACGGGGAGGUAGUGACGAAAAAUAACGAUACGGGACUCAUCCGAGGCCCCGUAAUCGGAAUGAGUACACUCUAAAUCCUUUAACGAGGAUCAAUUGGAGGGCAAGUCUGGUGCCAGCAGCCGCGGUAAUUCCAGCUCCAAUAGCGUAUAUUAAAGUUGUUGCGGUUAAAAAGCUCGUAGUCGAACUUGUGUCCCGCGUCGACGGUUCAUCGUUCGCGGUGUUAACUGUCGUGCAGUGGGAUGUCCUGCCGGUGGGUUUAGUUCGCAAGAGCUAACCCGAAUUAAUCCUGCCGCGGUGCUCUUCAUUGAGUGUCGAGGUGGGCCGGCACGUUUACUUUGAACAAAUUAGAGUGCUUAAAGCAGGCUAAAAUUUUGCCUGAAUAUGUGUGCAUGGAAUAAUGGAAUAGGACCUCGGUUCUAUUUUGUUGGUUUUCGGAACCNCCGAGGUAAUGAUUAAUAGGAACGGAUGGGGGCAUUCGUAUUGCGACGUUAGAGGUGAAAUUCUUGGAUCGUCGCAAGACGGACU